This 346-nucleotide long non-coding RNA is filed under the name Homo sapiens (human). RNAcentral describes it as "HSALNT0155672". Lineage: Eukaryota; Metazoa; Chordata; Mammalia; Primates; Hominidae. The record is from RNAcentral.
CUGAACUAGAUUGAGCGAGAGCAAGAAGGACAUUGAACCAGCACCCAAAGAAUUUUGGGGAACGGCCUCUCAUCCAGGAACAGAGGAAGGAUGAACACAGAUGAAUUCCGGGCAGAACAGCGAGGUGAACGACAGGAUCCCUCAGCUUUGGCCAUCCCUUGCCUGUGACGUCAGUCUGACUCUCACACCCCCAGGAGAUGUCGGCCCUCACCUAAACAGGACGGAGGUGACAUUGUAGCUCUUGUCUUCUUUCAGCUCAUAGAUGGUGGCAUACAUCUUUUGCGGGUCUUUGUCUUCUCUGAGAAUUGCAUUCCCUGCCAGGCCUACCACAUACCACUUCCCCUGG